AUACGGAGGGUGCGAGCGUUAAUCGGAAUUACUGGGCGUAAAGCGUACGUAGGCGGUUUGCUAAGUCAGAUGUGAAAGCCCCGGGCUUAACCUGGGAACUGCAUUUGAUACUGGCAGACUAGAGUAUGAUAGAGGGGGGUAGAAUUCCUGGUGUAGCGGUGAAAUGCGUAGAUAUCAGGAGGAAUACCAGUGGCGAAGGCGGCCCCCUGGAUCAAUACUGACGCUGAGGUACGAAAGCGUGGGGAGCGAACAGGAUUAGAUACCCUUGUAGUCC
RNAcentral lists this ribosomal RNA (274 nucleotides) under uncultured bacterium. Its description in RNAcentral is "partial 16S ribosomal RNA". It matches the Rfam family "Bacterial small subunit ribosomal RNA", at positions 523 to 796 of the family's 1533-position model. The record is from RNAcentral.